This 1587-nucleotide ribosomal RNA is filed under the name human gut metagenome. RNAcentral describes it as "bacterial LSU rRNA". It matches the Rfam family "Bacterial large subunit ribosomal RNA", at positions 523 to 2120 of the family's 2925-position model. The record is from RNAcentral.
ACCCCGAACAGGGGAGUGAAAUAGAACCUGAAACCAUACGCUUACAACCGGUCGGAGCGGCUUCGUGCCGUGACGGCGUGCCUAUUGAAUAAUGAGCCUACGAGUUACUAAUCACUGGCGAGGUUAAGUGCUGUUAAGCACGGAGCCGAAGCGAAAGCGAGUCUGAACAGGGCGGCCAGUCAGUGGUUGUAGACGCGAAACCUUGCGAUCUACCCUUGAGCAGGAUGAAGGUCGGGUAACACCGACUGGAGGUCCGAACGAAUAAGCGUUGAAAAGCUUCUCGAUGACUUGAGGGUAGGGGUGAAAGGCUAAUCAAGCUGGGAAAUAGCUCGUACUCCCCGAAAUGCCUUUAGGGGCAGCGUUGUAAUUGAGAGUCUACUGGAGGUAGAGCUACUGAUUGGAUGCGGGGGCUUCACCGCCUACCAAAUCCUGACAAACUCCGAAUGCCAGUAGUAUGAUUUACAGCAGUGAGCGACUGGGUGCUAAUGUCCAGUUACGAGAGUGGAACAACACAGACCAGCAACUAAGGUCCCGAAGAAUAUGCUAAGUUGAUCUAACGAUGUUUUGUUGCAGAGACAGCUAGGAUGUUAGCUUGGAAGCAGCUAUUCAUUCAAAGAGUGCGUAACAGCUCACUAGUCGAGCGACAGAGCGUGGAUAAUAAACGGGCAUCAAGCAUAUCACCGAAGUUCUGGACACGAGAGUGUGGUAGGGGAGCAUUCCAUUCGCGCAGAAGUCGGGCCGUGAGGUUCGGUGGAGCGUAUGGAAAAGCAAAUGUAGGCAUAAGUAACGAUAAUGCGGGAGAGUAACCCGCACACCGCAAGACCAAGGUUUCCUGAUCAACGCUAAUCGGAUCAGGGUUAGUCGGGUCCUAAGGGUAAGCCGAACGGUGAUCUCGAUGGAUAAUCGGUUAAUAUUCCGAUACUGACAUAUACCUCGAUGGAGAGACGAAGGAACGUAAGUGACGCCGCCUGACGGAAUAGGUGGUUAAAGGGCGUAGGUAUAGGGACAGAUUAAGAGUUAGUCCUUGCUGAGACCCGACAGUACGGAGCGGCUACGGCCAAUCCGAUAGUUCACCCAAGUCGACUUCCGAGAAAAUCUUCUAAGUUAUAGUAUAUGUCACCCGUACCGUAAACCGACACAGGUGGUCGAGGAGAGUAUCCUAAGGUGCUCGAGUGAAUCACGGUUAAGGAACUAGGCAAAUUAACCCCGUAACUUCGGGAAAAGGGGUCCCUAUGAAAGUAGGGCGCAGCGAAGAGGUCCAGGCGACUGUUUAUCAAAAACACAGGGCUCUGCAAAUUCGAAAGAAGACGUAUAGGGCCUGACACCUGCCCGGUGCUGGAAGGUUAAGAGGGGAUGUCAUCGCAAGAGAAGCAUUGAAUCGAAGCCCCAGUAAACGGCGGCCGUAACUAUAACGGUCCUAAGGUAGCGAAAUUCCUUGUCGGGUAAGUUCCGACCUGCACGAAUGGUGUAACGAUCUGGACACUGUCUCAACCGUGAGCUCGGUGAAAUUGUAGUCCCGGUGAAGAUGCCGGGUACCCGCAACGGGACGAAAAGACCCCGUGAACCUUUACUAUAGCUUAACGCUGA